This 735-nucleotide ribosomal RNA is filed under the name uncultured marine bacterium. RNAcentral's name for it is "bacterial SSU rRNA". It matches the Rfam family "Bacterial small subunit ribosomal RNA", at positions 14 to 794 of the family's 1533-position model. The record is from RNAcentral.
UGAUCCUGGCUCAGAACGUACGCUGGCGGCACGCCUAACACAUGCAAGUCGAACGAAGUAGCAAUACUUAGUGGCAGACGGGUGAGUAACAUGUAGGUAUCUGCCCUUUGGCCUGGAAUAACACGAGGAAACUUGUGCUAAUACCGGAUAAGUCUUUACGGAGAAAGCUUUAUGCACCAUUGGAUGAGCCUGCACUUGAUUAGUUUGUUGGUGGGGUAAUGGCCUACCAAGACUGUGAUCAAUAGCUGAUUUGAGAGGAUGAUCAGCCACAUUGGGACUGAGACACGGCCCAAACUCCUACGGGAGGCAGCAGUGGGGAAUCUUGCACAAUGGAGGAAACUCUGAUGCAGCGAUGCCGCGUGAGUGAAGAAGGCCCUUGGGUUGUAAAGCUCUUUCGUCGGGGAAGAAAAUGACUGUACCCGAAUAAGAAGGUCCGGCUAACUUCGUGCCAGCAGCCGCGGUAAUACGAAGGGGCCUAGCGUAGUUCGGAAUUACUGGGCUUAAAGAGUUCGUAGGUGGUUGAAAAAGUUAGUGGUGAAAUCCCAGAGCUUAACUCUGGAACUGCCAUUAAAACUUUUCAGCUAGAGUAUGAUAGAGGAAAGCAGAAUUUCUAGUGUAGAGGUGAAAUUCGUAGAUAUUAGAAAGAAUACCAAUUGCGAAGGCAGCUUUCUGGAUCAUUACUGACACUGAGGAACGAAAGCAUGGGUAGCGAAGAGGAUUAGAUACCCUCGUAGU